CCUACGGGUGGCAGCAGUGAGGAAUAUUGGUCAAUGGACGCAAGUCUGAACCAGCCAUGCCGCGUGCAGGAAGACGGCUCUAUGAGUUGUAAACUGCUUUUGUACGAGGGUAAACGCAGAUACGCGUAUCUGUCUGAAAGUAUCGUACGAAUAAGGAUCGGCUAACUCCGUGCCAGCAGCCGCGGUAAUACGGAGGAUUCAAGCGUUAUCCGGAUUUAUUGGGUUUAAAGGGUGCGUAGGCGGUGGGAUAAGUUAGAGGUGAAAUCCCGAGGCUCAACUUCGGAAUUGCCUCUGAUACUGUUCGUCUAGAGAGUAGUUGCGGUAGGCGGAAUGUAUGGUGUAGCGGUGAAACGCUUAGAGAUCAUACAGAACACCGAUUGCGAAGGCAGCUUACCAAGCUACUUCUGACGUUGAGGCACGAAAGCGUGGGGAGCAAACAGGAUUAGAUACCCGAGUAGUC
This 460-nucleotide ribosomal RNA is filed under the name uncultured bacterium. Its description in RNAcentral is "partial 16S ribosomal RNA". It matches the Rfam family "Bacterial small subunit ribosomal RNA", at positions 338 to 795 of the family's 1533-position model. The record is from RNAcentral.